RNAcentral lists this ribosomal RNA (219 nucleotides) under Clostridioides difficile. Its description in RNAcentral is "partial 16S ribosomal RNA". It matches the Rfam family "Bacterial small subunit ribosomal RNA", at positions 354 to 590 of the family's 1533-position model. The record is from RNAcentral. Lineage: Bacteria; Bacillati; Bacillota; Clostridia; Peptostreptococcales; Peptostreptococcaceae.
GUGGGGAAUAUUGCACAAUGGGCGAAAGCCUGAUGCAGCAACGCCGCGUGAGUGAUGAAGGCCUUCGGGUCGUAAAACUCUGUCCUCAAGGAAGAUAAUGACGGUACUUGAGGAGGAAGCCCCGGCUAACUACGUGCCAGCAGCCGCGGGAAUACGUAGGGGGCUAGCGUUAUCCGGAUUUACUGGGCGUAAAGGGUGCGUAGGCGGUCUUUCAAGUCA